GUUAGAGAUAGAAUCAUCAGCUAAGAGUGAGUAGAUGGAAGAGGAAUUGAAAGUUAAGGAAAAGGCAUGAAAUAGUCUGAGAGAAUGGGAAAAUGAAUUAACUAGGGACAUAUGUAAUCAGAAUGCCCAGCUUGCUGAGGGUCCACUUGAUAUUUGUGGUUGUAUAUUUGUGUGAAGCCAUUCACUAUGACUUUAUGUUUGUAAUUUUUUUAAACAAAAUCCAUUUGUGUAAUGGAUUUAACCAGGUUUGGAGUUUUGCUAAGAGAGUACAAUAGAGAGAGGAGGAGCUUUGUAGCAAAGAAGUAAUUAUAAUGUACAAUUUGUAGGAUAGGACUAUGAGGAAUGGUGGCUGAGGUAGAGAGAAGACAAGAUAAACAAGAUAAUUGCCUAAAGGACAGGAGGGCCAGGAUUUCAAAUGGACCAUCUAUAUGGAUGUUUAAAAUAACUAAGAUUGAUGCUAAGAGUAGAGGAAGACAGUGAGCCAGCUUCUAAUGCCAGUUCUAUCACUUAUGUCUAGCACAUCAGUAUAUUCCUCCUCUUUCAUCUACUCAAGGAUAUGGCUCUAGAAAGUUUCCCCCCAUCUUCUGCCUCCCUUUACCACAGAAAAAUUCUUACUGGAAUAUAAACAUGCUAUUAUUUUUCCCAUCAUGAAAAUCAAAAUAAAACAAUGUAACAACAAAGGAAAUCUCUUAACUUCUUAGCCCUUUCUAGGUACCUCCUCAUUUCUCUACUCUCUCUUUGAACAAAAUUCCUUAUAACAGUUGUUUAUAUCUACUGUUUUCAAUUAAUCUCUUCCGUUUUUCUCUCAAAUCUUUUCCAGUCACACUUUUAUAUAAAUGAAUCAAUGAAAUAGGAAGAAUAAACAGAACUUUGGUAGACAACUUCAAGAUGAUGUUACAUGUUUGAUGGCCCGAGCUGAAAAGAGUUGGGAGUUUUUGAGGGAAAGAGAGUUGAAAUUUUCUUGUAUGAGAAGUGGAAGCUCCAUGAGAACAAAGGCAUUGCUGCUUUUGUUCAUUGCUGUGUCCCCAAAGUCUUGAACAGUGUCUGGCACAUAUAGGACAUUUCCUGAAUCUUCCCUGGCUUUGUGAAGUGAGUUAUGUAGCCUUGUCGAUUAUUGGUUUGCAUGCAGGUGGAAAAUGAGGAGUUCUGAAUCUUCGUUAUCGAAAGCAGUUAAAAUGUGUCUGGAAUUUGCUGGAAGAACUACAGGGAAAGCAGUCGGUGAGACCCAGGCACAGGAGGAGAGUUCGUUAGCUACCACAUGUAAAGCUGAGAGCAGAUGGCGCCGUUGAUACAGAACGCAGGAAUGUGCGUGUUUA
This is a non-coding RNA of Kogia breviceps (pygmy sperm whale), 1316 nucleotides long. The record is from RefSeq and is a predicted model, not a curated record. Lineage: Eukaryota; Metazoa; Chordata; Mammalia; Artiodactyla; Physeteridae.